Molecule: ribosomal RNA, 431 nt
Filed under: uncultured bacterium
Lineage: Bacteria
Description: partial 16S ribosomal RNA
Rfam family: Bacterial small subunit ribosomal RNA
Source: RNAcentral
CCCUCCCUCUGUCGGCAGGCUUAACACAUGCAAGUCGAACGCCCCGCAAGGGGAGUGGCAGACGGGUGAGUAACGCGUGGGAACAUACCCUUUUCUACGGAAUAGCUCUGGGAAACUGGAGUUAAUACCGUAUACGCCCUACGGGGGAAAGAUUUAUCGGGGAAGGAUUGGCCCGCGUUGGAUUAGCUAGUUGGUGGGGUAAAGGCCUACCAAGGCGACGAUCCAUAGCUGGUCUGAGAGAAUGAUCAGCCACAUUGGGACUGAGACACGGCCCAAACUCCUACGGGAGGCAGCAGUGGGGAAUAUUGGACAAUGGGCGCAAGCCUGAUCCAGCCAUGCCGCGUGAGUGAUGAAGGCCUUAGGGUUGUAAAGCUCUUUCACCGAUGAAGAUAAUGACGGUAGUCGGAGAAGAAGCCCCGGCUAACUUCGUG